Molecule: ribosomal RNA, 482 nt
Filed under: uncultured bacterium
Lineage: Bacteria
Description: bacterial SSU rRNA
Rfam family: Bacterial small subunit ribosomal RNA
Source: RNAcentral
AAUCAACGCUGGCGGCGUGCCUCAGACAUGCAAGUCGAACGAUUAAAGCUCCCUUCGGGGAGUGCAUAGAGUGGCGCACGGGUGAGUAACACGUAAGUAAUCUACCUUUGAGUGGGGAAUAACGUUCGGAAACGGACGCUAAUACCGCAUAAUGCAGCGGCAUCGCAAGAUGACAGUUGUUAAAGGAGCAAUCCGCUUAAAGAGGAGCUUGCGGCGGAUUAGCNGUUGGUAAGGUAACGGCUUACCAAGGCUACGAUCUGUAUCCGGUCUAAGAGGACGGUCGGACACACUGACACUGAAUAACGGGUCAGACUCCUACGGGAGCAGCAGUCGGGAAUUUUGGGCAAUGGGCGAAAGCCUGACCCAGCAACGCCGCGUGAAGGAUGAAGUAUUUCGGUAUGUAAACUUCGAAAGAAUAGGAAGAAUAAAUGACGGUACUAUUUAUAAGCUCCGGCUAACUACGUGCCAGCCGCCGCCGUAAU